AAGUUUUGGAAACUUGCCAAAUGUUUGACCAACUCUCAUACAUCUUGGGUUUCAGGAUAGAGCACAAGUCAUGAGUGAAUAUUUCUGAAUACUGAAAGGAACCUGAAUGAGCAGCUGAUCUAGCACAGGCAUCUGCAGUUUCAUUACCAGAGAUGCCCAUGUGACCUGGAAUCCAAGCUAAAACUAUGUUAAUUUUGAGUUCAUAGCACUCUUUCAAAGUUUCUCUUAUUUUGAGAAUGAUGGGAAACUGACUUUUUGUCUUAAACGGAUUUGAGAGAAUUGAUUGGAGGCAACUUUUAGAGUCUGAAAGGAUAAUAGAAUUGUUCAUGUUGUGAGACUUAACAAAUAGAAUAGCUUCAAGAAUGGCGAUUGAUUCCCCUGUAAACACAGAAGUGGUAGGUGGGCAGCUAUAACUCAGUAUAAUUCUUGUUGAGGGAAUCCAUACUGCAGCCCCAACCGGACUCAUGUCUGUUUUUGAAGCAUCCGUGUAGAUUUUAUACCAAUGUCGAAAAUCUGAGUCCAUUAUAUGAGAAAAAGUUUUAUUUGCUUCUAUAGAAAAGUUAUCAACACCUAAGUCUAAAAUUACUGAGGGUUGGAAAGUAAGAGCAUUGAAAGGCAUAGAAAAUAAAGGCAAUUUAGAAUAUUGAAAGAGAGGGUUAGAGAGCUGAGAAAAUAAAAGAUGUUGAUAGAGACAGUCCAUGUUGUGUUAAAUAUUCAGAAAGAUAAUCAAGAGCAUUAUUUAAAUGAUUAGAUGAAUCUUGUAUAGACUUGUCAGAAGAAUACAGGACAAUGUCAUCUGCAUAUUGCAGUAUCUGACAGAAAGGUGUAACGGUACUGUUGAGGUCAUGGGUAUACAGAUUAUAAAGAAGGGGACUAACGACUGGGCCUUGAGGUAAACCUUUCCAAACUGACUUAGGAGGGAGGUAAGAGGAUGGACCUUUAAUAGUGAUGGAUCUCUCCAUUAACAUGUUACAUAUGAAACGGGAUAACUUCACGGGGAUACUCAGCUGGUUGAGUUUACUCCUGAGUAGAGGAAGUGAAAUGUUAUCAUAUGCAGAUUCUAUAUCAAGAAAAACUCCCACAAGGUGUUCUUUUCUGAGGAGUGCUAUUCUAAUGUCAGUUGUAAGGAUACCUAAGCUAUCUAAGGAGAUCUUGCCCUUUCUGAAACCGUACUGGGAGUUGGAAAGGAGAUUAUUGGUUUCAACAAACCACUCAAGUCUUUGUUUAAUCAUGAUUUCAGAAACUUUUGCAAGAGCAGAAGAGAGGGCAAUUGGCCUAUAGCUGGUAGCUUCAGAUGGAUUCUGACCAGGUUUAAGUAAUGGAAUAAUUACCUGAUUUUUCCAAGGUGGAGGGAUGGAACCAAGAUCAAAAAGGUUAUUGAUUAUGCUAAGAUAUAUUAUUCCUUGGAUGUAGAUGAUGAAUUUUUAAUGAAAGAGUAUGGGAUUCCAUCUACCCCAGGAGCAGAGUCAACUAGGCCAUCCAGAGCAAGAAGAAGUUCAGAGAAUGAGAAGGGGGACUCUAAACUGUGAGUUGAGGCAAGAGGGAUUGGGGGGGAUGGAAAAUAGUCCAUAUUUGGAACUGAAGGGGGGGACAUCCUAUCUGAAAAGGAAUCAAGCCAUACAGAAGGAUCCACAUUAAAAUCACACACUUGAUCACAAAAUGAACCUCUAAAUUUUUUAAUUUGUUUCCAGACAGUUGAGGAUGGAGUGCUUGGUUUUAAAUUCUGGCAAAAAUUAAUCCAACCUUGUUUUUUCUUUUUUCUGAAUAAAUGGGUAGCCUUCGCCGCCACUUUUUUAUAAUAAAUAAAGUUUGACAUGGA
Molecule: long non-coding RNA, 1819 nt
Organism: Leptidea sinapis
Lineage: Eukaryota; Metazoa; Arthropoda; Insecta; Lepidoptera; Pieridae
Exons: 2
Source: RefSeq, a predicted model, not a curated record